GAUGUUGACUUAAUUCUGUGGGGUUUGAGGAGCUUAACACCUUCAUGCUUUGCAUAUUCGUGCUCUUGGGUGUACUUGCCCGUGUGGUUGGUUAACAUCAAUUUUGGGGACCAUAAAAUGACUGGAGGAAUGUAGCUUCGAUCUUGUAUUGAAGUGUUAUAGCCUUCGGUAGAUGUGGUGAUCGAGAUUGAGGAUUGCAACGGAUACCUUUCGGGGCUACCUGUCUGAUCUCUGAUCGUUGCUCUGGUGCUGAAAGCUUGCUUAUAGUUGUCAAAGUCGAUGGUCAAUAGGUUAGAAUGGGUUAAAUUCGUUAAGGAUGUUGACGUAA
RNAcentral lists this ribosomal RNA (328 nucleotides) under uncultured fungus. Its description in RNAcentral is "LSU rRNA". The record is from RNAcentral. Lineage: Eukaryota; Fungi.